RNAcentral lists this ribosomal RNA (104 nucleotides) under Shewanella sp. Sh95. RNAcentral describes it as "partial 23S ribosomal RNA". The stretch from base 1 to 85 matches the Rfam family "Bacterial large subunit ribosomal RNA", at positions 2841 to 2925 of the family's 2925-position model. Lineage: Bacteria; Pseudomonadati; Pseudomonadota; Gammaproteobacteria; Alteromonadales; Shewanellaceae. The record is from RNAcentral.
GAGACUAGGACGUUGAUAGGUCAGGUGUGUAAGCGUUGUGAGGCGUUGAGCUAACUGAUACUAAUGACUCGAGAGGCUUAACCAUACAACCCAGAUGGGUUUUG